RNAcentral lists this unclassified non-coding RNA (279 nucleotides) under plant metagenome. RNAcentral describes it as "partial contains small subunit ribosomal RNA, internal transcribed spacer 1, and 5.8S ribosomal RNA". The record is from RNAcentral.
UUUCCGUAGGUGAACCUGCGGAAGGAUCAUUAUUAUAUAACCGAGCUUCAAAGACUCUCUCUGACCCGUAUUGUCUUACACUCUCGAGUGCCUUCACAUUCUUCCAUUUUACUCCUAUGUUCACCACCUCGCUGGUCCACAUUUGACUUUUUCGGAUGGGGGCUUACGUUUUCACACAAACAUUUUAUGCUGUGUAGAAUUUAUUUUUUGUUUUUGCGAUCACUAAAUCAAUACAAUUUUCAAUAACGGAUCUAUUGGCUCUCCCAUCGAUGAAAAACC